This is a long non-coding RNA of Photinus pyralis (common eastern firefly), 574 nucleotides long. RefSeq lists it as uncharacterized. The transcript has 3 exons. The record is from RefSeq and is a predicted model, not a curated record. NCBI's taxonomy places the organism in Eukaryota, Metazoa, Arthropoda, Insecta, Coleoptera, Lampyridae.
UCAAACGAUUUUCGUUAAAGACAGAUUUCCAGUGUUAAAUGCCUUUUGAUUAGGUAGUUUGUGUUAAAAGUGAAGUAAAUAUCAUCAAAGUUGAAAACGCCUAGGCAAGUCCACAGUGCAGCAACGCCGUUAACAGACAAGUCAUUACCGUUACAAUUAGGUAAAUAUGACGAACCGAUACACAGAAGGUGAGCAAAGUUUGAUUUUGAAGUUGAUUCAGUACUUCCAAGGGGAAAAAGAAGCAGGCAAAACUUUAACACCCGUAAGCGCAGUAUAUGAUAGGGUUUGUGCUGCCCUGGGUGUAUCGUUGUGGACUGUAAAAAGAAUUAGUACAAGAGGUGUUAAAAAAGAUGACGAUUAGGUACAAAUCGCAAAAAAGUGUGGCUAUUAGUUUAUCUCACGGACCUCCGCUGCAUGAAAUACAUGAACAUGUAAUAAGGACACGGAUUUAUGCAAUGUAUGCGACAGGUAAAUAACAUUCUUUAUGUUCUAAGGGAAGAUUUGCUUCAAAUGAAGACGUUCGCGAGAACACUUAUGGAAUUGAUUUUAUAGGUGAGAAUGUUACACUCCGUUC